NNNNNNNNNNNNNNNNNNNNNNNNNNNNNNNNNNNNNNNNNNNNNNNNNNNNNNNNNNNNGCGACGGGGACCCGCGUGGGGACAGGGAUGCGGAGGAGGACAUGGGGAUGGAGACAAGGUUGGGGACAGGGGCACGGAGAAGGACACGGGGAUGGAGACAAGGUUGGGGACAGGGGCACGGAGAAGGACACGGGGAUGGGGACCAGAUUGGGGACACGGGGAUGGAGAAGGAUAUGGGGACGGGGACCAGGUUGGGGACACAGGGAUGGAGAAGGACAUGGGGACGGGGACCUGCUUGGGGACAGGGGCAUGGAGGAGGACAUGGGGAUGGAGACAAGGUUGGGGACACGGGGCACGGAGAAGGACACGGGGAUGGAGACAAGGUUGGGGACAGGGGCACAGAGGACACAGGGACAGGGACAAGGUUGGGGACACAGGGAUGGAGAAGGACAUGGAAACAGAGAAGGACACGGGGACGGGGAACAGGUUGGGGACACAGGGAUGGAGAAAGACAUGGGGACAGAGGAGGACGUGGGGAUGGGGACCUGCUUGGGGACACAGGGAUGGAGAAGGACACGGGGAUGGGGAUCCUCUUGGGGACACAGGGAUGGAGAAGGAUGUGGGGAUGGAAACCAGGUUGGGGACACGGGGACAGGGACUUGCUUGGGGACAGGAGAAGAGGAGGACGGUUGACACAGGGAGCAGGUUGGGGACAGGGCAAACAAGGACACGGGGACGGGGACACGCACGGGGCUGUGGUGUUGGGGACACGGGGACAGGACACAGGCAGGGUCCCCUGUCCCCGUGUCACCCCCCGUGUCCCCACGUCCUGCUGUGUCCCCUGCUGUCUGCAUUGUCCCCACGGGCCCUCGUGUCCCCACCCUCCUCCAUGUCCCCUUCCCGUGUCCCUGUGUCCCAUCGUGUCCUGUGUUCCAUGUCCCCAUGUCCGUGUCCCCAUGUCCCUCUUCCUGUGUCCCCUUGUCCUGUUUCAUGUCUCUGUGUUCUCUAUCCCUGUGUCCCAUCAUGUCAUGUGUCUCUGUCCUCUGUCCCCAUGUCCCCCUUCCCCUGUCCCCGUGUCCUCUGUCCUUGUGUCUCCCAUGUCUGUGUGUCCCUGUCCCAUCACGUCCCAUGUCCACGUCCGUGUCCCACAUCUACGUCCCACCACGUUCUCCUGUUCCAUGUUCUUGUGUCUCCCCGCGUCGGUGGCCCGUGUCCCCAUGUCCCUGUGUCCCCACCGUGUCCCCCCGUGUCCCCGUGUCCCAUGUCCCCACCGUGUCCCCCCGUGUCCCCACCUUCCUCUGGAAGACGAGGCCGAACUCGCGCAGGUGCUGCAGGAAGGUCAGCAGGGAGUCGCUCAUGCCCUCCACCGAGUAGUCCUGGAGCGGGGGGACCAGUAUCUCCCAGUUAAUCCCAGUUACCUCCCAGUAACAUCCCAAGAAACCCCGGCCCUCCACCGAGUAGUCCUGGGGGGGGUCCCAGUAUAUCCCAGUUACCUCCCAGUUACCUCCCAGGAACCCCCGGCCCUCCACCGAGUACUCCUGGAGUGGGGGUCCCAGUUACUCCCAGUUAAUGCCAGUUAUCUCCCCGUAACAUCCCAGUAACCCCCAGCCCUCCACCGAGUAGUCCUGGAGCAGGGGUCCCAGUUACUCCCAGUUAAUGCCAGUUACCUCCCAGUAACAUCCCAGUAACCCCCGGCCCUCCACCGAGUAGUCCUGGA
Molecule: long non-coding RNA, 1717 nt
Organism: Apteryx haastii (Great spotted kiwi)
Lineage: Eukaryota; Metazoa; Chordata; Aves; Apterygiformes; Apterygidae
Source: Ensembl